AUACGGAGGACGCGAGCGUUAUCCGGAUUCAUUGGGUUUAAAGGGUGCGCAGGCGGCCGUGCAAGUCAGCGGUGAAAGCCCGGGGCCCAACCCCGGAAGUGCCGUUGAUACUGCAUGGCUUGAAUGCGGUCGAGGCGGGCGGAACGUGGCGUGUAGCGGUGAAAUGCGUAGAUAUGCCACAGAACGCCGAUAGCGGAGGCAGCUCGCCAGGCCUGCAUUGACGCUCGGGCACGAAAGCGUGGGGAUCGAACAGGAUUAGAGACCCUGGUAGUCCACGCCGUAAACGAUGGGCGCUCGUCGUCGGCGGCAGACAGUCGGCGGCCAAGCGAAAGCGAUAAGCGCCCCACCUGGGGAGUACGGUCGCAAGGCUGAAACUCAAAUGAAUUGACGGGG
Molecule: ribosomal RNA, 393 nt
Filed under: uncultured bacterium
Lineage: Bacteria
Description: partial 16S ribosomal RNA
Rfam family: Bacterial small subunit ribosomal RNA
Source: RNAcentral